CAUCAGAUGACUGAAAGCAAGUAAUGGUCUCUUAAACCAAUUUAUAGUAAUCUAGCAAUUACUUCUGGUGA
RNAcentral lists this transfer RNA (71 nucleotides) under Validiblatta fuliginosa (smokybrown cockroach). Its description in RNAcentral is "Periplaneta fuliginosa (smokybrown cockroach) tRNA-Lys". The record is from RNAcentral. Lineage: Eukaryota; Metazoa; Arthropoda; Insecta; Blattodea; Blattidae.